This 230-nucleotide long non-coding RNA is filed under the name Homo sapiens (human). RNAcentral's name for it is "HSALNT0225098". The record is from RNAcentral. Lineage: Eukaryota; Metazoa; Chordata; Mammalia; Primates; Hominidae.
UUUAAAGAAAUCACUUAGCAGCUGCAGCUUGGGGCAUAUUUCUGGUAGACGCCUCUGCUUUCUCUUGAUCAGUUUUCCCAUGGGAGGGCAGACUGAAGAAUCCCACAGAAACAAGAUGUUCUGCUGUAGGCAAGUAGAGCACGUACAACAGUUACAACUGUGCUCCCCUGGAAAGAUAAUCCACAAAUACCGGACACUGUUUAUUAGAGCCACAUACGCUUGGAACCAUA